AUUGAACGCUGGCGGAAUGCUUUACACAUGCAAGUCGAACGGCAGCACGGGUGCUUGCACCUGGUGGCGAGUGGCGAACGGGUGAGUAAUACAUCGGAACGUGCCCUGACGUGGGGGAUAACUAACCGAAAGGUUAGCUAAUACCGCAUACGUCCUGAGGGAGAAAGCGGGGGACCGUAAGGCCUCGCGCGUUAGGAGCGGCCGAUGGCGGAUUAGCCAGUUGGUGGGGUAAAGGCCUACCAAGGCGACGAUCCGUAGCUGGUCUGAGAGGACGACCAGCCACACUGGAACUGAGACACGGUCCAGACUCCUACGGGAGGCAGCAGUGGGGAAUUUUGGACAAUGGGGGCAACCCUGAUCCAGCCAUUCCGCGUGAGUGAAGAAGGCCUUCGGGUUGUAAAGCUCUUUCGGCAGGGACGAAACGGCGCCGGAUAAUACCUGGCGUCAAUGACUGUACCUGAAGAAGAAGCACCGGCUAACUACGUGCCAGCAGCCGCCGUAA
This 502-nucleotide ribosomal RNA is filed under the name uncultured bacterium. RNAcentral's name for it is "partial 16S ribosomal RNA". It matches the Rfam family "Bacterial small subunit ribosomal RNA", at positions 29 to 523 of the family's 1533-position model. The record is from RNAcentral.